ACCCGCACAAGCGGUGGAUGAUGUGGUUUAAUUCGAUGCAACGCGAAAGACCUUACCACCUUUGACAUGUACGGAAUCCUUUAGAGAUAGAGGAGUGCUCGAAAGAGAGCCGUAACACAGGUGCUGCAUGGCUGUCGUCAGCUCGUGUCGUGAGAUGUUGGGUUAAGUCCCGCAACGAGCGCAACCCUUGUCAUUAGUUGCUACAUUCAGUUGGGCACUCUAAUGAGACUGCCGGUGACAAACCGGAGGAAGGUGGGGAUGACGUCAAGUCCUCAUGGCCCUUAUAGGUGGGGCUACACACGUCAUACAAUGGAUGGUACAAAGGGUCGCCAACCCGCGAGGGGGAGCCAAUCCCAUAAAGCCAUUCGUAGUCCGGAUCGCAGUCUGCAACUCGACUGCGUGAAGUCGGAAUCGCUAGUAAUCGUGGAUCAGAAUGUCACGGUGAAUACGUUCCCGGGUCUU
RNAcentral lists this ribosomal RNA (462 nucleotides) under uncultured Acidovorax sp. Its description in RNAcentral is "bacterial SSU rRNA". It matches the Rfam family "Bacterial small subunit ribosomal RNA", at positions 919 to 1382 of the family's 1533-position model. Lineage: Bacteria; Pseudomonadati; Pseudomonadota; Betaproteobacteria; Burkholderiales; Comamonadaceae. The record is from RNAcentral.